Megalobrama amblycephala (Wuchang bream) is the source of this 366-nucleotide long non-coding RNA. RefSeq lists it as uncharacterized. The transcript has 3 exons. The record is from RefSeq and is a predicted model, not a curated record. NCBI's taxonomy places the organism in Eukaryota, Metazoa, Chordata, Actinopteri, Cypriniformes, Xenocyprididae.
GAAAUAACCACUGCCGACUUACCAUUAAUUGUCUUGACGCCGGAGUGAUCUGGAGCAGGUGACGGUGGCUCGGGAUCAGACUCUGGCUCCAGAUCUGGAGCAGGUGACGGUGGCUCGGGAUCAGAAUCUGGCUCCAGAUCUGGAGCAGGUGACGGUGGCUCGGGAUCAGGCUCUGGCUCCAGAUCUGGAGCAGGUGACGGUGGCUCGGGAUCAGACUCUGGCUCCAGAUCUGGUGGAGGGACACAAGGCUCCACAACAUCCACAUCACUACAGGGGCAACAGCACCGGAAAGGACUCUUCAUCGCCUUCCACAGCCUGUUGAGGAAAGAACGAAUUUGUUUCCUCUUCCUGCGUUCUGUAGGUUUU